UUCAUAAAUCGUUUGGAUAGCGUGGAGAGAAGUAGUACAAAGAAUGCUUCCUAAAAAAAAAGACAACUCCAAACUAACAGGAUAAGAGUAACGUGCAUUUUGGAAUACAAAAACGUAAGCAAUUUGUGUUAAAAAAAAGAAUACAUUGUAUCUAUCAGUAUAAUAAGAAAUAAAUAUAAAAUAUAACAAAUAA
This is a long non-coding RNA of Vespa crabro (European hornet), 193 nucleotides long. RefSeq lists it as uncharacterized. The record is from RefSeq and is a predicted model, not a curated record. The transcript has 3 exons. NCBI's taxonomy places the organism in Eukaryota, Metazoa, Arthropoda, Insecta, Hymenoptera, Vespidae.